This is a small nuclear RNA of Callithrix jacchus (white-tufted-ear marmoset), 104 nucleotides long. The record is from Ensembl. NCBI's taxonomy places the organism in Eukaryota, Metazoa, Chordata, Mammalia, Primates, Cebidae.
GUGCUCACUUCAGCAGCACAUACACUAAAACAGUAACAAAACAGAAAAGAGUAUCAUGGCCCCUGCAAAAAGAUGACACAAUUCGUGAAGUGUUCCCUAUUAAA